RNAcentral lists this ribosomal RNA (392 nucleotides) under Nodosilinea foveolarum Djaks_9. RNAcentral's name for it is "bacterial SSU rRNA". It matches the Rfam family "Bacterial small subunit ribosomal RNA", at positions 356 to 767 of the family's 1533-position model. The record is from RNAcentral. Lineage: Bacteria; Bacillati; Cyanobacteriota; Cyanophyceae; Nodosilineales; Nodosilineaceae.
GGGGAAUCUUCCGCAAUGGGCGAAAGCCUGACGGAGCAACGCCGCGUGAGGGAGGAAGGCCUUAGGGUUGUAAACCUCUUUUCUCUGGGAAGAAGAACUGACGGUACCAGAGGAAUAAGCCUCGGCUAACUCCGUGCCAGCAGCCGCGGUAAGACGGAGGAGGCAAGCGUUAUCCGGAAUUAUUGGGCGUAAAGCGUCCGCAGGCGGUUUUUUAAGUCUGUUGUCAAAGGUCACAGCUCAACUGUGGAUCGGCAAUGGAAACUGGGGAACUUGAGUGUGGUAGGGGUAGAGGGAUUCCCGGUGUAGCGGUGAAAUGCGUAGAUAUCGGGAAGAACACCAGUGGCGAAGGCGCUCUACUGGCCACAACCGACGCGAGGAAGAAGCCAUGCCCA